Molecule: long non-coding RNA, 964 nt
Filed under: Oryza sativa (Asian cultivated rice)
Lineage: Eukaryota; Viridiplantae; Streptophyta; Magnoliopsida; Poales; Poaceae
Description: long non-coding RNA (OSAT_LNC001291)
Source: RNAcentral
UUACAAAAAGCGGCCCACAUAAAUCCAUGUCAUACAAGAAAAGGGUCUCAACAACUCAUUCCAAUCGUCAUGAGAGUGAUUUUCCGUUGAACACGACUACUGUCUGUCAUACCGACUAAUGUGAACGACCAUUCAAUCAGUACGUAAGCCUCAGUUUUCAAUAGAUGAAUUCGAAGCUUCCCUCGUACUCACUCUAUCCCUAAAUAUUUGACGCCGUUGACUUUUUUAAACAUGUUUGACCAUUUAAAUUAUUUAAAAACUUUUUUUUCAACAGAGACAUGCAAAAAAAAAGAGCUCAUCAUUAUCCCCCUGGCAGAAAUGCCAUCAACUUUUUUUUCAAAUAUGAUUUCUUCUUAAGAAUCCAAAAUGUCACGGCCAAGAGCAUCCAAUUCAUCAGGAAUCUGUUAUCCCCCAUCAACCUCAGGUGACCUACAAGGUGAAAUGAGUGAACAAGAAAGUUACAAAGAUGAACAAAAUCAUCAAAAUUACUGCAAUCAUAGUGCAAUAAACUCCAGAUACAUGAUAGUCUUAACUCUUAUCAUAAGAAAAAAAACUAUUCUAGAGCAAAGUAUUGUAUCUUGCAUCUAACACAUCCAUUAGAGGUGCCAUUCUUGUAUGACGAUUCAGAAAUCUACUACUCGUUCUGCUUGUAAAAAUAAUUAACAAGGUUUUUGCAAAUCAGACAGCGUGAACCCAAUGACAAAGAGUGCUGGUCCGUGGCCAAAUCUAAUUUUCAUUAUUUAUUCCUUGCAAAGGAACAAUCUCUGUAGUACUACACAAUAUGCACUGGAUAUUGCUAGUUUAUGCUCAAAAUGUGUACUAAAUCACCAUUUUAAAAAAAAAGAGAUUUUUUAUGGUCCAGCAAAUUGUACCGCUCGGUACCAGUACGCAUCUGCCGUUCGUUCCGGCAUGGGUAGGAUCGGAAGAGAGUGGCGCUGGCCAUGCCUUGAAGCAAUCAAGUGGC